GGGAGCGUCCGGAUGCCUGGUGGGUCCCGCGGCCUUCAAAGCCGUUGAGGGGUCGUUACGCGAUCCCUGGUGGGUUCGAUUCCCAUCCGCUCCCG
Molecule: transfer RNA, 95 nt
Filed under: Phycisphaerae bacterium
Lineage: Bacteria; Pseudomonadati; Planctomycetota; Phycisphaerae
Description: tRNA-Sec
Rfam family: Selenocysteine transfer RNA
Source: RNAcentral